GGGGAAUAUUGCACAAUGGGGGAAACCCUGAUGCAGCGACGCCGCGUGGAGGAAGAAGGUCUUCGGAUUGUAAACUCCUGUUGUUGAGGAAGAUAAUGACGGUACUCAACAAGGAAGUGACGGCUAACUACGUGCCAGUAGCCGCGGUAAAACGUAGGUCACAAGCGUUGUCCGGAAUUACUGGGUGUAAAGGGAGCGCAGGCGGGAGAACAAGUUGGAAGUGAAAUCCAUGGGCUCAACCCAUGAACUGCUUUCAAAACUGUUUUUCUUGAGUAGUGCAGAGGUAGGCGGAAUUCCCGGUGUAGCGGUGGAAUGCGUAGAUAUCGGGAGGAACACCAGUGGCGAAGGCGGCCUACUGGGCACCAACUGACGCUGAGGCUCGAAAGUGUGGGUAGCAAACAGGAUUAGAUACCCUGGUAGUCCACACCGUAAACGAUGAUUACUAGGUGUUGGAGGAUUGACCCCUUCAGUGCCGCAGUUAACACAAUAAGUAAUCCACCUGGGGAGUACGACCGCAAGGUUGAAACUCAAAGGAAUUGACGGGGGCCCGCACAAGCAGUGGAGUAUGUGGUUUAAUUCGACGCAACGCGAAGAACCUUACCAAGUCUUGACAUCCCUUGACGAACAUAGAAAUAUGUUUUCUCUUCGGAGCAAGGAGACAGGUGGUGCAUGGUUGUCGUCAGCUCGUGUCGUGAGAUGUUGGGUUAAGUCCCGCAACGAGCGCAACCCUUAUGGUCAGUUACUACGCAAGAGGACUCUGGCCAGACUGCCGUUGACAAAACGGAGGAAGGUGGGGAUGACGUCAAAUCAUCAUGCCCUUUAUGACUUGGGCUACACACGUACUACAAUGGCGUUAAACAAAGAGAAGCAAGACCGCGAGGUGGAGCAAAACUCAGAAACAACGUCCCAGUUCGGACUGCAGGCUGCAACUCGCCUGCACGAAGUCGGAAUUGCUAGUAAUCGUGGAUCAGCAUGCCACGGUGAAUACGUUCCCG
This 995-nucleotide ribosomal RNA is filed under the name uncultured bacterium. RNAcentral describes it as "bacterial SSU rRNA". It matches the Rfam family "Bacterial small subunit ribosomal RNA", at positions 356 to 1376 of the family's 1533-position model. The record is from RNAcentral.